Ictidomys tridecemlineatus (thirteen-lined ground squirrel) is the source of this 98-nucleotide non-coding RNA. The record is from Rfam. NCBI's taxonomy places the organism in Eukaryota, Metazoa, Chordata, Mammalia, Rodentia, Sciuridae.
AUCCUUUUUGGUUCAUAAGCAUGGUGACUAAGUGUCUGCACUGUCCUGAGAUGUGCCUCCCUUUAAACCUGUGACACUGGUACAGUACCUUUCUUACA